CCCGCUGAGUUUAAGCAUAUCAAUAGGCGAAGGAAAAGAAACUAAUAAGGAUUCCCUUAGUAACAGCGAGCGAACAGGGAAAAGCCCACCAUCAGAACGGUCGCCCUUGGUGCCCGAAUGGUAGUCUGGAGAAGCAUCCUCAGUGGCAGAUAGGGCCCAAGUCCCCUGGAAGGGGGCACCAGAGUGGGUGAGAGCCUCGUCGUGGCUGGAAUCUAUUUUAAGACUAAGAUUGCAACUAAGAGGGGGUGAAUUAGUUGACUUAAAAUUAUGGCCACUUUUUCUACAAAAUCAAGAGUUAAGUGCAGCGGAGAAAUUAUGCAUAAAAUUAAAAAUUAAAAAAAUCAAAAGAUAAAGGAGAAGAGAGUACACCGAAAUUUUAUAUUGUUUCACCUUCUUGUCCACCGAGGGCUACGUCUAGUACUCUUGCAGCACAAGAGACUUCUUCACUAAAUAUUAUGAGUUUUAAUUACGAGACCUCUAUGUACCUUACACACUCACUAAUACUUAUGUCACUCUUGAAAAACACCUUUUCAAGUGACUCUAUCUCUUUUCUUAUAACACCCUUUUCAAAGAAAGA
Molecule: ribosomal RNA, 577 nt
Organism: Lupinus angustifolius (narrow-leaved blue lupine)
Lineage: Eukaryota; Viridiplantae; Streptophyta; Magnoliopsida; Fabales; Fabaceae
Rfam family: Eukaryotic large subunit ribosomal RNA
Source: Rfam